This 248-nucleotide long non-coding RNA is filed under the name Gallus gallus (chicken). Lineage: Eukaryota; Metazoa; Chordata; Aves; Galliformes; Phasianidae. The record is from RNAcentral.
GUUUUCGGUGUUGUUUUUUCUUUCUCUCAAAAGAUGCUAGAUAGAUUUGCCAUGGGACAACUUAGAGAGAGUAUGAUGCAAGCACACUGAUGUCGUCUGAUACCUGUGAAGCCAGAUAUUUUCUCCCACAUCUCAUACUAGAGAUGAGCAGACAAAAGGUGAAAGAGAGAACAGCAGAGAGACCAUCCACAGAGGGAGAUGGGCAAUUGUGAGAAGAGGUCGAGAACAGAAUAGGAAAGAAGGAGCGG